RNAcentral lists this ribosomal RNA (370 nucleotides) under uncultured prokaryote. RNAcentral describes it as "partial 16S ribosomal RNA". The record is from RNAcentral.
CCCUAUGGGGUGCGGGGGUGUACACCGCGAGCAGCAGCCCAACCUUCACAGAUUUAACCAUUAUGAACAAUACAGCUUCCACACAGGGUGGUGGGAUCUAUAACAUGAACAGUAAUCCCACGCUUACCCGCGUGUUAUUGGAAUCCAAUAGCACCACUGAGUCGGGCGGAGGGGUAUAUUCGUAUGGCAGCAAUCUCGUCCUGACUGAUGUGACCUUUCGCGACAACCAAACUUCGGUAAAGGACGAUUCCGUUUACAACGGCGGGGGUGGCAUGUUCAAUUUUGGACCCCCAAACAUGGUUAAGGUAUCGGUUGUGCUGACGAAUGUGACCUUCACGGGGAAUACCAGCGCGGAUGAUGGCGGGAGAGC